UGGGGAAUAUUGCACAAUGGGCGCAAGCCUGAUGCAGCCAUGCCGCGUGUGUGAAGAGGCCUCGGGUGUAAGCACUUUCAGCGAGGAGGAAGGUGGUGAGCUUAAUACGCUCAUCAAUUGACGUUACUCGCAGAAGAAGCACCGGCUAACUCCGUGCCAGCAGCCGCGGUAAUACGGAGGGUGCAAGCGUUAAUCGGAAUUACUGGGCGUAAAGCGCACGCAGGCGGUUUGUUAAGUCAGAUGUGAAAUCCCCGGGCUCAACCUGGGAACUGCAUUUGAAACUGGCAAGCUAGAGUCUCGUAGAGGGGGUAGAAUUCCAGGUGUAGCGGUGAAAUGCGUAGAGAUCUGGAGGAAUACCGGUGGCGAAGGCGGCCCCCUGGACGAAGACUGACGCUCAGGUGCGAAAGCGUGGGAGCAAACAGG
RNAcentral lists this ribosomal RNA (423 nucleotides) under uncultured bacterium. RNAcentral describes it as "partial 16S ribosomal RNA". It matches the Rfam family "Bacterial small subunit ribosomal RNA", at positions 355 to 776 of the family's 1533-position model. The record is from RNAcentral.